CGUGUCGCCAAUGCCCAGUGUUUUCUUUCUUCUCUCUUCGCAAUUUCACAUCUCUCUCUUUCUUUUUGUCGAGAAACGCCGACGAUUUCAGCUCUCAUGGUCUUAUUCUGUCGAAUUGAGAGUAGCACUUGGCAUGAAUUUCGUGUUUGAGCAGUCGUUAUCUUCACUCUUCGAUGUCGUCUCACUCUCCCCUCAAUUCUCGAAACUUUCACCGGAGAAAUCUCUGUCAUUCGGCUUCCUCCGUCAAACUGAGAGGUUAAUUGAGUGGAGAUUGCAUUUUUGAUCUGGUCUGUAUCAUCAUCUGCAGGAUAAAUGGUACGAAACUCCCUGAUUUCACUUGUAGAUCGAAAAUUAGGGUUUUAAAUAUGCUUCAAAAAUUAGGGUUUUUCACAAUUGGGAAUUGACUGUAUCAAAAUUAGUGUUCUCUGAUGUUUGCAUGUCGUUUUCAUACCAAAUUGGGGUUGGAUUUUGUUAGCAUCAAGUUUUUUUUUAAAAAAAUUAGGGUUCAUAUGAUGUUGUUAAAAGAUUGGGAAUUCGUAAUUGAUCUGUUUGUUUCCGUUUAACAUCGCAGAUAAUGUUGUUUUGAACCAUGAAAUUGAUCUGUUUGAUACGUUUUUGAAAUGUGUUUUGCUUGAAAUAGAUAAAUGUCGCAGAUAGUGUUUUUUGAUGAGGCUUAUUGAUCUGUUUCUCUGUUUUUGGCGAGGUCAAUUGGAGAACAAGCAGACAUAUGGAGUAACAGCUCAUGUAAGGUUUGUUUGGACAAAAUGAAUGACUUUGGGACUUGGCAGAUGAAUGAGUAUCAUCGUAAGAGAGAAAUGGUACAAAUGAGUUUUCAGGUUGGGUUUAGGACUUGUAUGACUUUGAUGUAUGAUUGCUUGUAGUUAAAGAUAUUGUUUUGUAUAAAUUUGAAUUUUUUCCCUAAGAUACUAUCUUUCUUCUUAACCGUUGGACCUCCUUUUUCUUAA
Arabidopsis lyrata subsp. lyrata is the source of this 965-nucleotide long non-coding RNA. RefSeq lists it as uncharacterized. Lineage: Eukaryota; Viridiplantae; Streptophyta; Magnoliopsida; Brassicales; Brassicaceae. The record is from RefSeq and is a predicted model, not a curated record. The transcript is spliced from 2 exons.